GGCCAGGUAGCUCAGUUGGUAGAGCAGCGGACUGAAAAUCCGCGUGUCGGCGGUUCGAUCCCGUCCCUGGCCACCA
Molecule: transfer RNA, 76 nt
Filed under: Gammaproteobacteria bacterium
Lineage: Bacteria; Pseudomonadati; Pseudomonadota; Gammaproteobacteria
Also listed under: 7 other names
Description: tRNA-Phe
Rfam family: tRNA
About the family: Transfer RNA (tRNA) molecules are approximately 80 nucleotides in length. Their secondary structure includes four short double-helical elements and three loops (D, anti-codon, and T loops).
Source: RNAcentral